GUGGGGAUGAAGAUGACAACUUCCAGGAUUCCACACUCAGUCACGGACUUGUUUAUUUCCUGGAAAAUGAAAGUAUCGCAUCCAGCAAGAGCUUUGUGAAACUGAAACUCACGGUGAAACUGAAACUCACGGUGAAAUUGUCGGUGGUCCUGCAAGAGCCUGAGAAGUAGCCAAGAACGAACCUCUGAUACAUUUGCUGAAAUCACUUUAAAACACAUUUUUAUUUCCUCCAAACAGAGUUCUAGCUUUCAUUUGACCACUGGACAAAGAUCAAGUUGGAUCAUUCUGAAAAAUUUUUGGUCUGCCGGAGAAACCCAUCCUCCUUCUCAAUGGAAACGUCAUUCUGUUACCCCAGUUUUCUACCUGACACAGAAAGCAUAAUGUCUGUGAUGCAUGAACUGAAGGAAAAGAACUUAACAGACAACACCCUUCUC
Long non-coding RNA from Cyprinus carpio carpio, 434 nucleotides. The record is from Ensembl. NCBI's taxonomy places the organism in Eukaryota, Metazoa, Chordata, Actinopteri, Cypriniformes, Cyprinidae.